This 468-nucleotide ribosomal RNA is filed under the name uncultured bacterium. Its description in RNAcentral is "partial 16S ribosomal RNA". It matches the Rfam family "Bacterial small subunit ribosomal RNA", at positions 28 to 507 of the family's 1533-position model. The record is from RNAcentral.
GACGAACGCUGGCGGCGUGCUUAACACAUGCAAGUCGAACGGAAAGGCCCUGCUUUUGUGGGGUGCUCGAGUGGCGAAAGGGUGAGUAACCCGUGAGUAACCUGCCCUUGACUUUGGGAUAACUUCAGGAAACUGGGGCUAAUACCGGAUAGGAGCUCCUGCUGCAUGGUGGGGGUUGGAAAGUUUAGGCGGUUGGGGAUGGACUCGCGGCUUAUCAGCUUGUUGGUGGGGUAGUGGCUUACCAAGGCUUUGCUGGGUAGCAGGCCUGAAAGGGUGACCGGCGACAGUGGCACUGAGAUGCGGCCCAGACUGCAACGGGAGAAAACAGUGGGGAAUAGUGCACAAUAGGCGGAGGCCUGAUGCAGCAACCACGCAUGCUGAAUGACUGCCUUCGGGGUAGAAACCGCUUUCGCCUGUGACGAUGCUUAAAUGACGGUAAUGAGCAAAGAAGCACCGGCUAACUACGUG